This 5451-nucleotide long non-coding RNA is filed under the name Salmo salar (Atlantic salmon). RNAcentral's name for it is "lncRNA (ENSSSAG00000087472.1)". Lineage: Eukaryota; Metazoa; Chordata; Actinopteri; Salmoniformes; Salmonidae. The record is from RNAcentral.
UGGGAUUCUGAUAAAUAUUAGACAUGUUUUAUUCGACAAACUAUAAAUGAAAAGUCAACAGUCAAAGUUUAAAGCGGAAAAAACAUUUUAAUUUAAAAAAAAGUUUAACAGUAACUUCCACUAGUCACCAUUCAGUUAGCCUGACUUCAGAUCAGUUCAUACGAACAUGAUGAGAUAACCUUCUAUACAUCAGGGAAGUGUCCCAAAUUAACCCCUAUUCCCUUUAUAGUGAACUACGUAUGCCCAGGGCCAUAAGACUCUGGUCAAACGUUGUGCAAUAUAUAGUGAAUAGGGUUUAAUUUGGGACACUUCAGAGUUUCGACACCUUAUAGCCAUAGAUCAGGGAAAUAGAAUAUACUGCAGCAUCAUCUAUGUACAAAAACAGAUUCACAGAGAACCUGCAUCAGAGAGAGAGAGCCUGCAUCACAUUAACAGAAAACACAGAAUAUAUACAAAUAUCUGAGGUGGUUAUUCCAGUGGUUCCAUUAUACAUAAACAAACGAUAUCCAGCUCAGCUUAAGUAUUUAAAAUAAUUUGACAAAGUAUCCCCCAAGAAGGUUAAGUCCAGUUGUAACCUUUAGCUAAAUGCUAACAGAGCUAGCAGUCUCAGUGGUAGUCUUUAGCUCGAUACUAAAAGAGCUAGCAUGAACUAAACUCAGGUUGUAACCAUGAGCUAGCAGGGUCUCAGAUGGUGGCUGACUCCUGCCCGGUCUUCUCCUCUGCCUCCCCUCCUCCCUCCUCCUCUUUAUUCUUCCUGUGCUUCUUCUUCUUGUUCUUGUGUUUGUGUUCCUUCCUUCCUUCGGCGGGAGGCUCAGCGUCGGCAGAAUGCUUCUUGUGCUUCUUGUGUUUUUUAUGUUUCUUGUGUUUCUUCUUCUUCUUCUUGUCCGUCGCGGUGGAGCCGCUGUGGUUGCUAGGGGAGCCGCCGGGGCUCUGGGAGGCGGGGCUCUGGGUGUUGUGGGAGGGGCUAUGGCUCAGGCCACUGCCUCUCUCCCCGUCUGACCCCUCCCCUUCACUGUAGUCGGGGACGAAGGCUGCCUCGUCCGUCUCUCUACCCAGGUCAGAACACAGACGCUGUCGCCUUGGCUCUGGCCCCGUCCCUCGACUCUCCUCCCUCCCUACCCCUCCUCUUCCUUCCUCCUUCACCCCUCUGGAUUCGGUCUUAGCUGGUUUUCUAAAGUUCACCUGCCCCUUUUUAAGCCCUCUGCCUUCCUCCCUCCUUCUAGUCCCCUCCUCCCUCCCUCUCUUCCCCUCUGUGUUGGCUGUUUUAGAGACACUACCCUGCAUCUCCCUGUCUUGGCUACUAGGUGGUGCUGGUGAGACUUCUCUCCUCAGAGCGUCUCUGGGCAAGGAGGAGGAAACCGCCAACGCCCCGUUCUCCCUGGACCCUGAGUGCUGCUCCUCUUCCUCCUCCUCCUCCUCUCUCUCCCACUUGGACCGGGGUGGAGGCUGGAUGAGGACUCCUCCGGUCCCACGGUCCCUCUCCCUGCCUGGGCUGGGGAACUGGACGGGACUGGGUCUCCUCUGGGUCUGGAGGUCCCGGGGUUUAGACACAGCACCCUGGCUCUGGCCCGGCUCAGACCUCUCCUCUACAGCCCUACUGCUGCUGGAACACACAAUACACAGAUCCAAGAUCAGGGGUUAGAGAGAACAUCAACUAGGAAGCAUUAUAACCAUGUUAUAUACACAGAUCUAGGAUCAGGGGUUAGAGAGAACAUCAACUAGGAAGCAUUAUAACCAUGUUAUAUACACAGAUCUAGGAUCAGGGGUUAGAGAGAACAUCAACUAGGAAGCAUUAUAACCAUGUUAUAUACACAGAUCUAGGAUCAGGGGCUAGAGAGAACAUCAACUAGGAAGCAUUAUAACCAUGUUAUAUACACAGAUCUAAGAUCAGGGGCUAGAGAGAACAUCAACUGGGAAACCAUUAUAACUAAUGUUCCCUCUAAUUUGUUUCGGCACUGAGCAAAUUUCAGGUCUGCCGAGCGCAAACUUGAAUGUUAUGAAAACACCGUGCAACUUCCGGUGCCCGUUUACCGUGAAGGCCCUGCCCGUUAACCGUGAAGGCCCUGCCCGUUUACCGUGAAGGCCCUGCCCGUUUACCGUGAAGGCUGUACCUGCUUUAAGUUCCAGUUUCAACAGUGGACAAGUAGGCUACUGUGGUUAUUUGUUCAGUGAAUGGCACAGAUCCAUAUAUUGCAAUGGCUAUUUGCAUAUAGGCCUACUGCAGCUCUGAUUGGUUGUGUUGCACCGGUCUGUGCAGAAUAUUCGAUCACAAUUCUCACUACAGUAGAAAACUAGAACGUUGAGCGAAGUUCUAACAGUCUGGUCGUUGUUAACUAAAGGAGAAAACUCUAGAACGUUGAGCGAAGUUCUAACAGUCUGGUCGUUGUUAACUAAAGGAGAAAACUCUAGAACGUUGAGCGAAGUUCUAACAGUCUGGUCGUUGUUAACUAAAGGAGAAAACUCUAGAACGUUGAUGAUGAUUGAUCAACAACACGGGUUAAUAAAGAACCGUUGGAAGGUCAGAGAUUGAAAGGGCAACUCACCCAGUUGAAGUGACAGAGUGGUCUGAUGAGUGGUGGACCGUGGGCUCAGAACUCUUUCUGCUGAUCUUUCUGGUCUUCCCAGAACCCUCCUUCACCACUGCUGCUCUGUCUUCAGCUACAGUCUCUCUCUGGGUCCCUGCCGCUCUCUCUCCUGUAGAGGCAGGCCUGUCUACGGAGGACGAGGCCUUCUCUCCUCUUCUCGCUCCUUUCUGUUCCCUGGUGGCUGACCUCUCUCUGGAUGAUGACCUGUCUGUCUUGGCUGAUGCUGGCCUCUCCCUCUCCUUGGAGCUCUCAGCUGGUCUCUCUCUCUCAGUGGGCGGAGUGUACUCGCUCUCUGUUCUCUCCCUGGUGACAUCAGGUUUCUUAACGAUGGCCGAGCGUUCCGCGAUGGUCAUGCGGUCUAGAGAGACCGACCUUCCUCCUCCUCCUCCUCCUCUCUCCGGCAAACGUUCCCCUGACGACGGCCUCUCUGACCUAACAGACCUGACCUCUGACCUCUCGCCAGACGACCUCCGCUCCACCAUCACCGCCACCCUCUCCAUCCCUCCAUCUCUCUCUGCUCCUCCUCUCUCAGGAGCAGCAGGUCUCUCUCCAGUAGAGGUAAUAGUAGUAGUGGUGAUAUUAGUAGCUGGAGCUGGUCUCUCCUCUGGGCGGGACAUACUGCUGUUCCUCCCCAGGUCUCUGUUCAGUUUGAUUCUCCUCUGGGGGAAGGGUUUGACCUGCAGACCCAUGAGAGGCCAGAUAGACCCCCUGUCACUCUCUCUUCUGCCUGCCUCAGAGCUCCCUGGGGUGGGCAGCAGCCCGUCGCCUCUCCCCUCUCUCCCCAGGUCCAUGGAGGAGCCAGGCCCAGGGAUGGAGAUGGAGAUGGGAUGGAAACGGUCUAGCCUCCCUGUCUGUGAGGUACCAGGGAUGGGGAGCAGACCCUCUCCUCUACCAGUCUCUCUGCAUGCCAGGUUCAGGAGGAGGGGAGGCUUGGCUGGAAGUCCUCUCUGGAGGUACGGACCCUCGGCACGGCGGAGCUUAGCCGGGGGGGCCCCCGAUCCCUCUGUCCAUCCCCCUCCCCCUUUCCCUCUCCUCCACUCUCCUCCUCUUCUCUGCUGGGGAGGGAGGUGUAGGCUGGAGGGGGCGACCAGGGGGGCGUACCCCGACACUGUGAAUGGGAUCUCUCCUUCCCCCGCGGGCAUCAGCCAGGUGUUUAGGGAGGUCGUGGGGGUGAGGGGGGAGGGGGCGGGGCAGGGGGAGUUUAGCCAUACCUCCUCUAACAGUAGGGGUGCUCCGCCCCUUCUCUCUCUUGAUCAGCUCGUCUGGUUUGACCUUCGAUGCUUUGGUUGGUUUAGUGGCUGAAGACUCUUUGUUCUUUGAGGCUGUGACCGUCGCCUCUCCUCCUGUCUUUCUCUUAACCUUCUCUCCUUUCACCUUGCCUUCCGUCUUUAUUUUCACCUUACCCCCCUUCUCCUUCCUGCUCUUCUCUGAUUGGCUGGACGAGGUGGGAGGGGUUUUACCAGAGAGCAGCGCUGCCUUAUUGGUCGAGACCUUGGUGGAGGUGAGUGGGGCUUUGCUAGGGGUCAGGGUCUGGAGUUCAUCCAUUGGCUCGUCCCUGACGGGCGUGGCAUCACCCCUGUCCAGUGAUUGGUUGGCUGAAUCCAGCUCCUCCCCGUUCUUCUUCUUCUUCAGUUUCUUCGCUUUCAGAGUUUUAGUUCCACCCUCUGACGUUUUGGUUCCCCCCUGCGUGCGCUCUUUACUAGCGUCCCCCUGCGUGCGGUCCUUAUUUCCAUCCCCCCUGGCGGAGGGUAUAGAGGACAAGGCGUGGUGAGUUCUGUGGGGUCCGGGAGGUCCCCCUCUCUCACCUCUCCUCACCCGCCCCUGGGGGGAGUAGUCUCUGGGUGGAGGGGUGAGGCGGUCCCUCUCUCUGCUGCCCCGGCCACCGCGGUGGUGCACCGAGGCAUGCUGGGUACUGUAGUCUUUGUAGUACUUGUUGUACCAGUCCCUGUACUCUUUCUCCCACUGUCUGUAGCUGUCUCUCUCCCAGCGCUCCCUGCCCCCGGGAGACAGGUCAGGUCCACCUUUAGGCUCGUAAGGGGGCGGCUCUCGAGGGGGAGGCUUAUGGUGACCUCUAACCCCUCCUGGACUCCUGCUCCUCCUGUAGCCCCCCGGGGAGCGAGACCUGGGCCGAUACCCCCCUCCUCCUUCAGCUCCGUCUCCUCCUUCCCAGCCCCCCCCACCACCACCACCUCGGUAAGGCGGAGGGGAGCGAGGAGAGCCGGAGCGACGGUAGCCGUAGGAACGGGAGCGUGAGCGGGACCGCGGCGAGCGGCCGUAGGAGCGGCUGCGUCCUCCCCGGCCUCCGUUGCGUCUGGAGAAGGGGGAGCGUCCGUAAGACCUGGAACGUGAGCGGGAGCGGCUGGGGGUGUACGAGUAAGACCUGGAGCGGGAGCGAGGAGAACGGGAUCGGGAGUAGGGGGAACGGCUGAAUGGAGAACGACUGUAGGAACGAGACCUGGUGAGGAGUGGGAGAAAAACAAAAAUUGAUAUGUCUGAUUACCAUCUCUACACAAUUCAUAUCAUCUCUGUCCUAGAUAUCAGAGAAUAUAUCUCUAUGAACAGUUCAAGAGGUUUAAUCCAGAAAUAUGUCUCAUCAGAUGUCAUUCUGUGUGUUACCUGGAGUAGGAGCGUCUCCGUCUCUUGGGAGCAGGUCUGUAUUCCAUCAGCUCUUUGGCAAAGUCUUUAGUGAACUCAUCCAGCUUGGACGUUACCCUGGUAACCCAGAGAGGCAGAACUGGUCACAUCCCAUAAUACAUGUCUGAAGGAAACCUUUGAACAGGUCAAUCUCUCUAAGCCACAGAAUGCAAGGAUUUAGGAUACUGGCCAGUCGGGUUACUAGCCCGGGGUAACAUUCCCCGCCACUAGC